CCCUUAGAUGUUCGGGGCCGCACGCGCGCUACACUGAAGGAAUCAGCACGUCUUUCUCCUUGUCCGAAAGGACUGGGUAACCCGCUGAACCUCCUUCGUGCUAGGGAUUGGGGCUUGUAAUCCUUCCCCAUGAACGAGGAAUUCCCAGUAAGCGCGAGUCAUAAGCUCGCGUUGAUUACGUCCCUGCCCUUUGUACACACCGCCCGUCGCUACUACCGAUUGGAUGGUUUAGUGAGAUCCUCGGAUUGGUCCCGGCGCGGCCUCUGGUCGUGCCGGAGUGCCGAAAAGAAUGUCGAACUUGAUCAUCUAGAGGAAGUAAAAGUCGUAACA
This 330-nucleotide ribosomal RNA is filed under the name uncultured eukaryote. Its description in RNAcentral is "partial 18S ribosomal RNA". It matches the Rfam family "Eukaryotic small subunit ribosomal RNA", at positions 1470 to 1796 of the family's 1831-position model. The record is from RNAcentral.